This 1068-nucleotide ribosomal RNA is filed under the name Metacrangonyx longicaudus. RNAcentral describes it as "16S ribosomal RNA". The stretch from base 845 to 1004 matches the Rfam family "Archaeal large subunit ribosomal RNA", at positions 2544 to 2703 of the family's 2987-position model. Lineage: Eukaryota; Metazoa; Arthropoda; Malacostraca; Amphipoda; Metacrangonyctidae. The record is from RNAcentral.
GUACUGUGGGGGAAUAAUUAAAUAGAAAAAGACUAUAUAAAAAAUAUUACCUUUUGUAUCAGGGUAGAUUUAUAUUAUUAUAAAUUAGAAAAUUUCGAAAUUAUUUGAGCUAAAAAUUAGUUAAUUAUUUGUAUCAAAAAUAAAAAUUACUUAUUUCUAGAGGUGAAAGUUCUGACGAAAAUAAUUAUAUCUAAUUAAAAAUGAAAUAUUAAAGUUUUUUUUUAUAAAAAAUAAAAUUAAUUGGGUAAGCUAAUUAAUACUAAAUAUAAUAUGAUAUAUAAAAUAUACUAGGCUUUAAAUUAGCCAUGGUUAUAGUUUUUAUUAAAUAAUUUUUUAAAGAAGAGCCAAAAUUUAAAAUUAAUUUUUUAUUUUUUUAAAUAAGACAAAACAAAGGAAAAUGAUUUAAUUAGUAUUUUUGUUUGAUUAAUUACAUGAACUAGAUUAAAUUUAGUCUGUUUAACAAAAACAUUUUUUUCUGUAAAAUAGAAAAUAUAACCUGCCCGGUGAGUUAAUUUAACGGCUGCGGUAUGUUGACCGUGCUAAGGUAGCAUAAUAAAUUGUUCCUUAAUUGGGAACUGGAAUGAAGGGUUGAACUAUUUUUGAAUUUGUUAUAUUUAAAUAAGUGAAUUUUUAUUAUAAGUAAAAAUACUUAUAUUUUAUAAAGGGACGAUAAGACCCUAGAAGCUUUAAUUUUAAAAAUAUAAGGUAUUCAUAUUUAUAAUUUAUAUUUUAAAAAAAUUUUGAUUGGGGAAAUAUAAAUUAAUAAAAUAAUUUAUUUUAAAAGUGUUAUAUAUAUAUAUUUAAUGAUCUUUUAAAUAAGAAUAAAAGGAUUAGUUACUCUAGGGAUAACAGCACGAUAAUUUUGGAUAGAUCAUAUAUAUAAAAUUGAUUGUGACCUCGAUGUUGAAUUAAAAUAUUCUUUAUAAAGCAGAAGUUAUAAAAGAAGGUUUGUUCAACCUUUAAUAUUUUACAUGAUUUGAGUUCAGACCGGUUUAAGCCAGGUCGGUUUCUAUCUUUUAUAAAUAUCAAAUUAUUUUAGUACGAAAGGACCAAUUAAUUUUAAUAGUU